GUAAAUAAGAAGGCAAAAGCCUAACAAUGGCUUUACGUGUGUGUAAACUCAAAGCGGCUUCAAUUCUCUUGACAGAAGUAUGGUCAAUGGUAGGCACAGGCGAUGAGACUAUAGAACCUCUCGUGCACUAACUUUAUUUGACAUGCAACAGUUACCGCCAUCUUCGGCUCGGCUAAUGCAAUCGUUUUUGUGAGCUAUGCGUUUGUUAGUACUCGGUCUAUCCGUGUAGAUGGCACUUUAAAGCGCUCGGUCGUGGCUUCUUGCCUGGUUGCCCGUCUGCUAUAGGCGUCGCCAUUGACAUCGUUUAUUUAGCGAUCUCGUGCGCCACGUUUACCUUCGACGGCGUGAACGUCGAUGAGAGCUUUCGCCUGGGUUAUGAAUUGAUAACACGAAGAGAACAGAGAAUCCGCACACUGUAACGGGGACGAGAAAGUGAUGGAAGAACGUAAAUACAGAGUGGUAGUCAAAGUGCAGAGUGACAUAUGGCGGAGUGUUUUUCAUGACUGUUAAAAAAAGAAUGACAAAAGUGCCAACUAUGAAUGUGUAAUGGAGUUGUGUUACGGUUAUACCGAGGAUCGAUGAAUGUCGUGAUUAUAAAUUUAGAUUUUUCAUAAAAUCAUAAUGCGUCUGUUACGUGCCAAUAGCUCGUUAAGAACACCCCUUUACUCAGGAAGAUAUAUUAAUAUUGUAUCUCGUUAGGUCAGUUUGCUAAUAAAGCGAAGUGAGCAGAUACACUGACUUGUUAAAAAUUGUGUCUGCAUACCGUAUAUCGCGCGUGCCACUACGUGCAAGAGAAAUAUAACUGACAUUUUAAAAGUAUAAAUAUCGUAUAGAAAUCCGUAGCUAUCUCGAAUUUUAAUUAAAAUUUACAUAGAAACCGAUAGAAUUCUAUAUUGGUACUUGGAAUGACAUACGCGUGACCAUUCCAGUACACGCCACAUACGGUAUCGGUUCAUAUCCACCCAUUGCAUCCUUUAUCCCGAUGAAAUUUCAUUUUAACCAUUCGGAUUGUAAAGUCAAGUAGAAAAAGCAGCAGGAAUAUCCGAUUCUGAUAACGCACAAUAUAUUGUGAAAUCGGAAAUAAAAUAAUCCCAUCCGUACAGGAAUAUUUAUAUAUUUUUAUAUAUCAAAAGUUAUCGUUACCGUUAUGAAAUAUUGAUACUUUUUUUCAAAUACUUUACUUUUCCCCGUUUACCUUGUUUAUACAGAGACGUCAGUAAGAUCAGUCAGCACUUAGCUCGGUACUGAUAAAAUACGAGGAAACGACUGACUAAGGGUGAGUAAACGAGAAGGAUAAAAAUAAAGAAAUACAUUUCAAAGAAUUAUUUUCUCGCGCGUCCAAUCUACAAGAACGGAAACGUUUGUUCUUUCUGGAUAAAAUAACUCCAAAGAGUGGUACCAGGGGGUCGGUUCAUGAGUGUUCUAUGGCACCUAUAUACUAUUGGCUGUCGUCUCCUCACCCUCGUAAAACUGCCAAUCGGGCUCUGAUGCUGCCUGGGAUAAAAGAUUUACUGGCAUCUAUAUGAGGAAUUGCAGGAAAGUGCCAAAUGCCUUCGCGCGACUCCUCAGACAUGGCCGACUUGUUACGAUUUUUCUCCUGUUAUUUCUCAUCGAUUUAUUACAAAGUUUAAAGGGACUACGUUGAAAAUACCUUAGGAACAAAGUGGCUACCGGAAGCAUUUAAAUAGAGAAGUACAGUUGACCUAUGACUUUUAAAUCUCUAUUUUUCUUUUUUAGUAAUUAUAACUCCACACAUGCCGGAAAACUUUUUCCGCGUUACUAUAGUUUGCACUACUGAUAUAAUAUAUAUAUAUAUAUAUCCAUCAUGAAAUUAUACCCUGAACAAGUCAGCGGUGCUCAGGAAAGUAGAAGAACAAAGUAACUUAUAAUCUCUGUAGUAAUUAUCCGGACUCUCGAGUCGUUCAACUAUUUAAUCUUUAAUCGGCUUGUCUGUGGCACGAAUUAACCGUUGACGAGGAUAACUUAAGAUACCCCAACGAAUGAUCCUACCCUGAAUCCCUUAAGGAGUUUUCCUCAACGAAGGAGAAUCCUCUCUUUUUUCAUCCCCUUACCUGACACCCCAUCGUUCACGAUGGCUACUUCAGAAUUUUCGGAUCACCUUCGGAUCCUCUAGUUUCUUCUUACCCGUCCUCCCUGCCUCUCCCUCGUUACUACGUUUCUUAUUUUCCCCCCUAAACUGUCAAUUCGAAAGCUCGAAACGAAUUAUAAAAGUUACUCCCCCAUUGUGCAUCUGCAUUUGGGCCUCUGCGCACUCAUUGCCAUAAACAUCGCGGUUUAAACUUUUCUUGUAGCGCACCGGUGCAAAGUGCCCCAUUAAUACGGCGCGCGGGAACGUAAUUUGAAUUUUAUCCUCUGCAACUAAACCCGCGUGCUGCCGCUACGGGCUUCCCUCACGGUUUAUGGACGCUGUCCUGUUGUGCGAAACUCCUGGAAAUUCUCCUUCUUAUUUUUUAACGUCAUUUCGCAACAUUUCUACCCUCGACGUUUUACUGCCAUUCUGUAACUCUCUUUCUACCUUUCCCCCUCUCUCUCUCUCACUUUUUCUCUGGCACAGCAACCCCCCUAGCAAAUCAUGCGAAAUUCAUUAAAACUUACCACAAAAGAACCUACGUCUUCUUUUUCGGUGAUCGCGACACUCGCAAACAUCAAUUAAGGAAACUUUAUCAGGAGACAUGAAAAAAAAAAAAAAAUUCCAAUAAGGUCGCCCAGGAACAAU
Molecule: long non-coding RNA, 2737 nt
Organism: Cephus cinctus (wheat stem sawfly)
Lineage: Eukaryota; Metazoa; Arthropoda; Insecta; Hymenoptera; Cephidae
Exons: 2
Source: RefSeq, a predicted model, not a curated record